GUGCUUGCUUCGGCAGCACAUAUACUCAGACUGGAACUAUAUAGAGGAGAUUAGCAUGACCCCUGCGCAAGGAUGACACGCGAAUUCAUGAAGCAUUCCAUAUUUUG
Molecule: small nuclear RNA, 107 nt
Organism: Ochotona princeps (American pika)
Lineage: Eukaryota; Metazoa; Chordata; Mammalia; Lagomorpha; Ochotonidae
Source: RefSeq, a predicted model, not a curated record